GGAUAUAGCUCAGUGGUGGAGCCUGUGCCUUCCAUGUGCUAGGCCUGGGUUCAAUUCUCAGCACCA
RNAcentral lists this transfer RNA (66 nucleotides) under Marmota monax (woodchuck). RNAcentral's name for it is "tRNA.Gly". Lineage: Eukaryota; Metazoa; Chordata; Mammalia; Rodentia; Sciuridae. The record is from RNAcentral.